Non-coding RNA from Lonchura striata (white-rumped munia), 316 nucleotides. NCBI's taxonomy places the organism in Eukaryota, Metazoa, Chordata, Aves, Passeriformes, Estrildidae. The record is from RefSeq and is a predicted model, not a curated record.
ACAGUCCAAUCAUCGCAUCCCUGGCCUCAGCCUGCCUGCCCUUCGGGGGAGGCAUGACUUUACAGGCAGCAGAAUAUCUGGUAAAGCAUCGCGGCAGAGAAUGACCCAGCCGCACGCAUUUAAUUGAUGCUUCCUCUCUCCUCCACUCUGCGGGUCCCAGGGUUCAGCACUGGACCAAGAACAUAGACCCUAUGGACUGCCUUGAGCUCAUCUUAGAAGACAUUUCUAUGAAUGAUGGAUGUUGGCGAUGUUGGCCCUGCCUGGAACAGCACUUUAAAAGAUGGAGUAAAUAAAUAACCUGAAAGUCUUUCUUUAC